This 492-nucleotide ribosomal RNA is filed under the name uncultured bacterium. RNAcentral's name for it is "bacterial SSU rRNA". It matches the Rfam family "Bacterial small subunit ribosomal RNA", at positions 30 to 520 of the family's 1533-position model. The record is from RNAcentral.
AUUGAACGCUAGCGGCAGGCUUAACACAUGCAAGUCGAGGGGUAUUGGUUUUCGGACCAAGAGACCGGCGCACGGGUGCGUAACGCGUAUGCAAUCUACCUUUUGCAGAGGGAUAGCCCCAGAGAAAUUUGGAUUAAUACCUCAUAGUAUAGUACUUUGGCAUCAAGGAACUAUUAAAGUCACAACGGCAAAGAUGAGCAUGCGUCCCAUUAGCUAGUUGGUAAGGUAACGGCUUACCAAGGCUACGAUGGGUAGGGGUCCUGAGAGGGAGAUCCCCCACACUGGUACUGAGACACGGACCAGACUCCUACGGGAGGCAGCAGUGAGGAAUAUUGGACAAUGGGCGCAAGCCUGAUCCAGCCAUGCCGCGUGCAGGAUGACGGUCCUAUGGAUUGUAAACUGCUUUAUACAGGAAGAAACACUACUUCGUGAAGUAGCUUGACGGUACUGUAAGAAUAAGGAUCGGACUAACUCCGUGCCAGCAGCCGACGG